GCUGUGGCUCAGUGGCAGAGCAUUGGCUUGGCAUGCAGAAGGUCCUAGGUUCAAUCCCCAGCAUCUCCA
This 69-nucleotide transfer RNA is filed under the name Sphaerodactylus townsendi. RNAcentral's name for it is "tRNA-Ala". It matches the Rfam family "tRNA". Rfam says of the family: Transfer RNA (tRNA) molecules are approximately 80 nucleotides in length. The record is from RNAcentral. Lineage: Eukaryota; Metazoa; Chordata; Lepidosauria; Squamata; Sphaerodactylidae.